UAAAAGUUUUAUUCUUGCUUAUUGAUUUAUUUUGAAUUAAUUUUAUAUGUAAGGUAUUUCGGGUAUUAAAAUCUUAAGGGUUUAAUGAUUAAUUUUUCAGUAGAUAGUAUUAUGAAUUUAAAGGAUUUUUGAUCUAGUUAUGUUCAUUAAGUAUUGAUUAAAUAUGUGCCAGCAGUCGCGGUUAAACAUAGAAUAUGAAUAAAUAUUUUCAGUUAAAUUAGUUAAUUUGUUUAUUAUAACUUUAUUUUAAAUUUUGUUUGGUGAAAUUUUAAUUUUUUUUUAUGGUUAAAAUUAAUUGAAGAGGCUAUGAAAUCUUUUAUUUAAACUAGGAUUAGAUACCCUAUUAUUAUUGAUAUAAUUUAUUUAAACUGGAGUAGUAUUAGUUAUGAUCUUGAAACUUAAAGAAUUUGGCGGUAUCUUAGUCUGUUCAGAGGAAUUUGUUCUAUAAUCGAUAGUCCGCGUUGAACCUUACUUGGUUUAAAUUUAGUAUGUAUACCGCCGUUUAUUGAAAAUUUUUUUAGAUAAUUUUCUUGAUAUUUGAUUUAUUAAUAUUUCAGGUCAAGGUGCAGCUUAUAAUCAAGUGGAAAUGAAUUACAUUUCAAUAAUGAAUAAUGGAUUAUCAAUUGCAAUUUUGGUAUAAAGGUGGAUUUGAUAGUAAUAUUGUAUAUAUUGUUAGUGUGAUUAGAGCUCUGAGAUGUGUACACAUCGCCCGUCGCUCUCGUUAAUUAAGAUGAGAUAAGUCGUAACAAAGUAGGUGUACCGGAAGGUGUAACUAGAAUGAU
This 782-nucleotide non-coding RNA is filed under the name Pycnoscelus femapterus. Its description in RNAcentral is "12S ribosomal RNA". The stretch from base 371 to 775 matches the Rfam family "Microsporidia small subunit ribosomal RNA", at positions 751 to 1303 of the family's 1311-position model. Lineage: Eukaryota; Metazoa; Arthropoda; Insecta; Blattodea; Blaberidae. The record is from RNAcentral.